Non-coding RNA from Sus scrofa (pig), 3013 nucleotides. Lineage: Eukaryota; Metazoa; Chordata; Mammalia; Artiodactyla; Suidae. The record is from RefSeq and is a predicted model, not a curated record.
UCUGGUCCGAGGUGAAGGGGCAAGACCUCUGCCCAAGGUGCCCUGUGAGCAAGUGGAACUAGACGAAGCACAAAGGAAAAGAAAAAAAGUGGUUUGCCACGGGCCCAUCCACAUGUGGAGACAGAGUAAGCAAAGAUGGAACCAUGGAGGUCUAAGGUUCCCUUGAACCUCAAGGAAUCUCUUGCUGUGUAGGCCUCUGGGAACAACCUAUGUGUCUCACCCAAGGCCCAGGACACACAUCCUUCCACUUGGAACUUUGAGUUUGAAAGGGAGGAAACAUAUUAAAAAAAACCUUAUAUAUAUAUUUCAAAAACUCAUCAUGCCACUCUGCUAUCUUCCAAGGCAGAGAGAUCCGCUCUUGCAGGCUGAAUGCUUUAUUUGGAUCUAAAUGUUGAUAAAGAAAUGAAAGGAACAGAGACAUGAAAUGUGGCAGAUACCUUUUUGGAAGUGGCAUUAUAAGAAUAAGGAAGGAUGCAUGGAAACAGAAAGAGCUAUAUUAAAUGUUUGCUUUAUCACUUUUUGCCAACUCCUAUCCUUGACUUUUAAAAUUUCUAAACAUUUCAAACAAAUCAGCUAUGCCAUGGUUGAAUGCUCUUGGAAGAAAAUGACUCUGAUUUGUCCAAAACCACCCCAGCAGGCAACCCAAGGACUAGAACUGGUUAAAUUUCUUAAAAAAUCAACAAGAGUAUCAGUUAUAAACAGGAACACCUGUCUUGCUAGAACCUAAACUAAGACCUCUGAUUUCUUUUACAUAAGGCAUUGAACAGCUGUCAGAUAUGUGAACAAAUUUUGUACGCUUGAGUACUAUGACUUUGAACCAGUGACCUGGAGGUCCAUUGUCUCUAUUAUCACUCCCUUGAGCCACUUGCUAUGGCAAGCUGCAGAGUUAUUUUAGAAAAUGGCAUCACCCAGUUUGGGUACUCCACCAGUCUGUGUUCAAAAUUAUCAGUAUUUUUCUGGUUCAAGUUACAGUUACUUCUGAUUGCUUUUGGUCUUGAUAUCCCCAUCCCAUUUAGUGACACUACCGUCUACCAAGUCACUAAAAUCAGAAAUUGUCAUUAUCUUUUAGUUGGUAAGCCUCGCUGAUCUACUGUGCCUCGUGAAGCCUUCGUCUUAUCUGUUGCUGUCACCUGACUUUAGGAUUCUCCUUGAAUAGCUAAGGAGCCUUUUAGCUCAUCCCCCACAUACCCAUUCUUCACUUUCUGCCAUAUUUUCAUCUUAAGCCAGAGAUCAUGUCUCAUUGCAAUGUCAAGUUUUUCUGUGGCUCCUCAAUUAUGUGAUGAUUCCCUGUGUUAUUUCUCACCCCAGUUAUUUCCUAAGAGUUCUCUGGCAGCUCUACCUCCUGACUCAUGCACUUCCCAACUCAGGCACCUGCCCCUCUCAACACCAGCUCUGCUAGGCCACUUUCCCCCCACUUUUUUUGGCUGUGCCUGCAGCAUGCGGAACUUUCCAGGCCAGGGAUUGAAUCCACACCACUGCAGUGACAACACUGGAUCCUUAACCUACUGAGCCACCAGGGGACUGCCUUUCCUUCUAAUAACAUAUGUAAGCUCCAUCCAUGUUGCUCCUGCUGUUUGCUCUGCAUACAGUUCCCUUCCUCUUUUUCUUGAGCUAUCAUAGUUCACUCCUGUUGCGAGACCCAAGCAAAAGUCCCUGUUAUAGAAAUCUUUUCUGCCUUGAGAGAGGGCAUACUCCUUCUUUUGUUCCUUUAACACUUAGUGUAUCUGUUGUUUACACUCCUCUGCAGGCCCAUGCAUUCCACAAAUAGUUGUGCACUUAUGUGGUAAUAACAUGAGUUCCCUGUGAACUGGACCUCUGUUCACCCUUAUUUUCCCAGUAUUUAGCACUGUCAUCUGCCCAUGGUAGGUGCUCCAUCAAUGUUAGGUUGAAUUAGGAUUAUGGAGCAGCCUUUCUGCAUGGUAGCUCAUGGGAAGUACUGUUGAUUGGGUAACGGAGAUUCGUGCCCAGUUACCUAUCAGGUCUGCCAUUGUGUGUUUCAUGGGUUGAUCUGUAUGCCCCUCAGGUUCCUUGUGAGCUUAAACAUCGAGAAUAGCUUAAAAGUGGACAACUAUUUCUCUCCUGUGCUAUUUGCUCAGUCUGGCCUCUUGAUUAACUCCCAUGCCUUCUAAUCUCUUCCUCCUGUUAUUCUCACCUUUGCUUGUGUAUCUGUGCUGUCACAGCCACUCCAAAGGCCAGCAUUGUCUUCACUUUCCCAUCUGGAUUCUCUUUUGCUGAAAUUCUCUAAGACUUGAGAAUAUCUUUUUCACUAUUCACCUUUUUAUUACAUACAGUUUUAUACUGUUUGCUGGUUAUUUGUCUUGGUAAAUUUUUUUUUUUGCUCCAUUCAGCUGAAAACUGCUUUAGUGUAGCUUGAUGUUGUUGCCAGCAGAGGCAUUCCAGUGCCUCUCCUGGAGGCCCUGGCUCUGCCAUACCAAACUAACUGUGGGCAAGUUUAAAAAAAUGCUAAACCUUAAAUAUAAAGUGGGAAAAAUAAUAGUGCCUAUCUCUAGAAAAUAGAGAAAAUGUAUUUGAAACUCUUUGUGCCUGACAAACAUAAGCCUGAGUAUGCGAUAGUUAUUAUUUUCAAGAACAGUUUUGAUCAGAACCUGUUGAAACUAAUUUAUUUUCCACCCAAAGCCUAUAUAAUGACUGAUACUUUGAGGUCUAUCUCAUGUCAUUGGAUAAUUAUGAUUGGUUUAGCACAAAGUCACACUCUGCAAGGUUCUUGGAACCAUUCUUCCACCAUGAGUACAGAGAAGCCAAGGCAGGCACUGACAUUGUGGUCUGUUCAGCAAUGUCUUGUGGCCCGAAUGAACCAUGAGGGCUUAUGAAUUGUCCUAAAACACAAAAUGUGAUUUGUUAGACCUUAACUAAUAAACGGAGUGUAUUUUUGGUGCCAUCAUACCCAGACUAUAAGGUCAUUGAAAUAAAUCUGAGGCAUAUCUCCUGAAAGAUGUCUACUCAUUCCUCUGCCAAAAGAAAAAAAAAAAAAAAAAUACAACCCUGUCUCCUC